AAAGUCCAGAAACCCUCUGCCCAGAGCUCUUCCCUCCCCUCCUUCUGUCUCGCCAGUUCUGGCGUGUUCCAGAUUGGGUAAGCAAUCGUUUGUGGAAAAACCAAGGGAAACCAAGCCAACCGAAGCCAAACCCACCAGCUAAGGGAAAGUGUUAGUGAAGAAAUCUCUGAUUCGUGAGCCAUAGUUGAGGAGAUAUCACCCCACAAUUAAGAGUCCUUUUUAGUAAUUUUGCAGGUAUUGUGUAAGCUCGGAUGUGGAUUACAGAUGUGAUUGAGGAAGGAAUAAUUUUGCUGAAAUGUUUUGAGGCCAUCAAAGAUUAUGAUAGGUUAAGAUCUCUUGUGUAUUUAUAUUUGAUUAUAAGGGAUAAUUCAGGUUUUAUUUUGUAAAUUGGAUUCUAAGUGUAAUUA
Molecule: long non-coding RNA, 407 nt
Organism: Spinacia oleracea (spinach)
Lineage: Eukaryota; Viridiplantae; Streptophyta; Magnoliopsida; Caryophyllales; Amaranthaceae
Exons: 4
Source: RefSeq, a predicted model, not a curated record